AUCCGGCUGACGAGUACCAGAUGGAACGAAAAGCGCGUCCUGGAU
This is a non-coding RNA of Schistosoma rodhaini, 45 nucleotides long. The record is from Rfam. Lineage: Eukaryota; Metazoa; Platyhelminthes; Trematoda; Strigeidida; Schistosomatidae.